This is a non-coding RNA of Triticum urartu, 1481 nucleotides long. Lineage: Eukaryota; Viridiplantae; Streptophyta; Magnoliopsida; Poales; Poaceae. The record is from RefSeq and is a predicted model, not a curated record.
CUAACUGUAAGUUGUCUCUGAUGUGCAGGUUAACACAAGUAAUGACAUAACCAAAGGUAUAGGUAGAAGAAUACUGUGUAGAAGGAUUGGAUUCCAUUCUGCCGCUGCAGAACCCAGCGAUCGACGGCGCGCAACGUCUAGGCGAUCGGCGGCAUGCGACGCCCAGACAAAUGCGGCGCACUUACAAGUAAUCCGCAAGCAAAAUCAGCACCACAAUGCACAGGUAGAAGUGGAGCCGAUGGAUCUUGGGGAGGAGGGGGCUUGGAGAACUCGUGAGCGAUGAUCUCUUCAGUUUUCCAUUCACACUGCAUGCAGCCAUUAGUUUACACACGAAAUCUGUAGCCCAUUCACAUGCUUCUGUGUUUGCACAUUGUAACUCACAGGAACACAAUUUUUCUUUUUUGCAAGCUGGACUAUUGAUUUCUUAUAAUGUUUUGCUGAUUUUUCUUCUUCCUUAUUACAGCACACUUAUUUCUGCAAUGACAUGUUACAGUUUGGAUGUGGCACCUGCAAGGUUUCGCUUUUGGGCAAUUUUAUCAAGUAGGGAUUUGCUAGCUGGAAUAUUAUGGCAAUUCAUUCUGCAAUCUUUUUUUUUCAGAACUUUCAGCAGAGUCGAAUAGUUGGAGCAUUUGACAGCAGGUUAAAUAUUUCUGUUGGUAGCAUGAUUACAUUCUACAAACUGUGCCUCAUCUGAAGAGAAACAACGCUUUUGUUGGUAGUUCAUCUAACAAUUCCAAUGUUGCAGCAGUAUCAAGCAGAAAAGGAGGAACAUCUUGAAUGUGUAGGUAAUACACACCACGUGGUGUUUGUUUUUCAUCAAUCCUUCGUUUGUAAUACCAAGUAAAAAAAGGAGGUUCUGUACUACUUGACUUCCAUGGUCCAUUUGCGAUUCAUUUAUGCAUUCAUUGGUUGGAACAAGUAUCCAAACAUGUAUUCUGAAGCUUAAGACAUGGUAUCCUAUUCAGUGUUAAGGACUCGGGGACAAAUGCCGGUGCAUAUCUGUUUUGACAUAUUGGUUACAUGUGCUUCAUGUAACAUGCAUUUCCUGAAGAGUAAAAAGAAAUGGAGGGAGUAUUUUGUAAGUGAAUGAUGUUUACGACCGAGACUUCAUCCUGAAGAUCACUAAUCCCAAUGUUUUUGAAUGAAUAAAAAAGAGAGGAAAGACUUGAUUUUCUUUACUCUUGAACGAAAAAUUUGGUAUCAACUUGUCGCCGAGCAAUCUUGGGACAUACAACUUAGAUGGAGAAACAAUGAUCGAUUCUAUGUGAUCGUGUUGAUGCAAGGAUAGAUGAUGAUGAUGCAGGUGGUGGUACGUGCAGCGCACUAAACUUUGACAAAAGGCUGCACGGAUUUUUUUGGGGCAUGUAACACUAAUUUCAGUUUGUUUCAUAUUAUGUGCUUUGCUAAAGCUUUUGUCAAAAUGAUGAUAUCGUGUGUUGCAAAUAAUUUUCUUCGGAUUUAUUUCACCCCCACCAUCUGAA